Molecule: ribosomal RNA, 504 nt
Filed under: uncultured bacterium
Lineage: Bacteria
Description: partial 16S ribosomal RNA
Rfam family: Bacterial small subunit ribosomal RNA
Source: RNAcentral
AUUGAACGCUGGCGGCAUGCCUUACACAUGCAAGUCGAACGGCAGCAUGGAGAGCUUGCUCUCUGAUGGCGAGUGGCGAACGGGUGAGUAAAGCAUCGGAACGUACCGUGUAGUGGGGGAUAACGUAGCGAAAGUUACGCUAAUACCGCAUACGCACUGAGGUGGAAAGCAGGGGAUCGCAAGACCUUGCGCUAUACGAGCGGCCGAUGUCAGAUUAGCUAGUUGGUAGGGUAAAGGCCUACAAAGGCGACGAUCUGUAGCGGGUCUGAGAGGAUGAACCGCCACACUGGGACUGAGACACGGCCCAGACUCCUACGGGAGGCAGCAGUGGGGAAUUUUGGACAAUGGGGGCAACCCUGAUCCAGCCAUGCCGCGUGAGUGAAGAAGGCCUUCGGGUUGUAAAGCUCUUUCGGCCGGGAAGAAAUCGCACAGGCUAAUACUCUGUGUGGAUGACGGUACCGGCAUAAGAAGCACCGGCUAACUACGUGCCAGCAGCCGCGGUAA